Molecule: long non-coding RNA, 453 nt
Organism: Scophthalmus maximus (turbot)
Lineage: Eukaryota; Metazoa; Chordata; Actinopteri; Pleuronectiformes; Scophthalmidae
Exons: 3
Source: RefSeq, a predicted model, not a curated record
GUCACAGCCAGUAGCAUCGAUGGACAGUUCCCAAAUCCCCGUCAACAACACCAUUCGCUAACCACGAGGAAGUGAACUGAACUAUCGCGAACUUGAUUCGUUUAAGCCGUUUCACAUAAAAAAUCCUUCCGCUGGAGACCAACACCGACGGAACAGGCGGGAGUAAUAGCUCAAAGUGACGAGUGGUCUUUGUGCUGGCUAACGGAAGCGGAUUCAUGGAUCAGAGCACCGACUUUUCGUGGCAAAACGUCGAUGCAUCAGAAGCAGAAGCUGUGGGCUGCAAGUGUGUCCGCUGUGUUGGUUGGAUGAUGGCUCGGACGCAUCUCAUGACAAAUUGAAAAACGGAAAACACCAGCGGGCGGGGACGGCUCACGGACGAGACUGCCGAGGUUGUCGUCACCACAGUGGAUGAUGAGGACGUCAGCUGCUGCUCUUCCUCAUGGAGUGGAAACA